UACGUAGGGUGCAAGCGUUGUCCGGAAUUAUUGGGCGUAAAGGGCUCGUAGGCGGUUUGUCGCGUCGGGAGUGAAAACCAUGGGCUUAACUCAUGGCUUGCUUUCGAUACGGGCAGACUAGAGGUAUGCAGGGGAGAACGGAAUUCCUGGUGUAGCGGUGAAAUGCGCAGAUAUCAGGAGGAACACCGGUGGCGAAGGCGGGACUCUGGGCCGAUACUGACGCUGAGGAGCGAAAGCGUGGGGAGCAAACAGG
RNAcentral lists this ribosomal RNA (253 nucleotides) under uncultured bacterium. RNAcentral's name for it is "partial 16S ribosomal RNA". It matches the Rfam family "Bacterial small subunit ribosomal RNA", at positions 524 to 776 of the family's 1533-position model. The record is from RNAcentral.